GACAGUCUUUAAAUCUUAUUUUUCAAAGUUAUAUUGAAAGUUAUAUUAGAAGAAGAAGCGGCUUCCUAAGCCCAGUACAAAUCUGCAAGUCUUAAUGAGAAAUUUGAGGGCCAGCUGAUAAAACGUUCUGACUAUUGUUUUUGUGUCCAAAACAGAAAUUAAAAGGGUUUGACUUGGGUGUUUUCCCCGCUUUUAGGCAGUUGAGCAGUCUUAGGAUUUGUAGGCUGACCUGACCGUUGCUUUGGCAUCAGGUGGCUGCUUUGGGAUCCUUACGCAGGCCCUGGGCAGUGAGGACCCUGUCUCUCAGCCUCAUGGUGUUCUGUGUUGUAGGCUGCUGCAGUACACGUUCGUGGGGGACAUAUUUAUGGUUCCUGAUGAUCCUCUGGGAAGAAGUGGACCUCGAUUAGAGGAGUUUCUUCAGAAGGAAGUCUGUCUUAGAGAUAUGCAGCCCCUACUCAGUGUCCUGCCAAAUGUGGGCAUGUUUGACCCCAGCUUCAGAGUCCCUGGCACCCAGGCAGCCAGCACCAGCCACCAGC
This 536-nucleotide small RNA is filed under the name Pan troglodytes (chimpanzee). RNAcentral's name for it is "retained intron". The record is from RNAcentral. Lineage: Eukaryota; Metazoa; Chordata; Mammalia; Primates; Hominidae.